RNAcentral lists this ribosomal RNA (415 nucleotides) under uncultured crenarchaeote. RNAcentral describes it as "partial 16S ribosomal RNA". It matches the Rfam family "Archaeal small subunit ribosomal RNA", at positions 330 to 747 of the family's 1478-position model. The record is from RNAcentral. Lineage: Archaea; Thermoproteati; Thermoproteota.
GUGCAGCAGGCGCGAAACCUUCGCAAUACGCGAAAGCGUGACGAGGUCACUCCGAGUGCCACUCGCUGAGGGUGGCUUUUCCCAAGUCUAAAAAGCUUGGGGAAUAAGGGGAGGGUAAGUCUGGUGUCAGCCGCCGCGGUAAUACCAGCUCCCCGAGUGGUCGGGACGUUUAUUGGGCCUAAAGCAUCCGUAGCCGGUCUUGUAGGUCUUCUGUUAAACCCAACGGCCCAACCGUUGGACUGCAGAAGAUACCGCAGGACUAGGAGGCGGGAGAGGCGGACGGUACUCCAUGGGUAGGGGUAAAAUCCUUUGAUCCAUGGAAGACCACCAGUGGCGAAGGCGGUCCGCCAGAACGCGCUCGACGGUGAGGGAUGAAAGCUGGGGGAGCGAACCGGAUUAGAUACCCGGGUAGUCC